RNAcentral lists this long non-coding RNA (1245 nucleotides) under Sus scrofa (pig). RNAcentral's name for it is "lncRNA (ENSSSCG00015076958.1)". Lineage: Eukaryota; Metazoa; Chordata; Mammalia; Artiodactyla; Suidae. The record is from RNAcentral.
CUAUUUUGUAAACUACCCCUGUGUAGUUGGAGAAGAUUUAUUCUGCAAUUGUUGGAUAUAGUGUUUUAUAAAUAUUAAUGAUGUCAAGUUGGAUAAAAAUGUUGUUCAAACAGUCUUCUGUUUACUCAUUUUUUCCUGCUUGUUCUAUCAAUUACUGAGAGAGAUUUACCAGUCUCCUACUAGGAUUACAGAUUUUUCUAUUCAUCCUUUUAGUUCUGCCAACUUCUGCUUCAUCUAUUAUGAGGUUUUGUUUUUAGGUGUACACAUAUUUAGGACCGUUUUCCUAAUGAGAUCACUAUUUGAUUAUUAUGAGUGUCUUUAUUUUUGGUAAUAUUCAUUGACUAGGGGGUGUUUUUUCCAUAACAGUAAUGUUUUACUUUUCUAAUUGCAAUAGUAAUACUGUAUUUCUCAUCAAUGGUAUUUGCACAAGUAUUUUUCCAUCCUUUUACUUUAAACCUAUCUGAUCUUAUUUUUAAAGUACAUCCUUGCAAACAGCAUACGGUUGAGUCUUAUUUUCUUGAUCCAGGCUGAGACUGUAAGAAAUUCAUUUAAUAUCUGGUAUAUUCAAUUUUAAAAUAAACUUUUGGAAUAACUUUAGAUUUACAGAAAAGUUGCAAAAAUACAACAGGAGAAUCCUAAAUACUUCUUACUAGUUUUCUCUAUGUUAAUACUUUAUAUAAGCGUAGUACAUUUAUCAAAACUAAAAAAACAUUGUCACUUUACCAUUACAUAAAAUCCAGACAUUAUUUGGAUGUCACCAGUUUUUCCAUUAAUGUCAUUUUUCUGUUCCAAGAUCCAAUCCAGGAUUCCACGUGGCAUUUUUUAUUCCAUCUAUUAUUUCACCAUUUACUUUUAAUGCAAUUUUGUGUUUGCAAUUUUGCUUUUCUUCUUAAAGAUCACCCCUCCCAAAUUGUACAAACUUCUCGUUAGAUCUACCCUACUUUUGAUAGAUGUCUAAUUUUGUUUCUACCAUAAUAAUUUUUAAUGCCCUCCCUCCACCCAAACACAGAGAAAAAGACAGACAGAAUUGUGUGUGUGUGGUUUCUUUUGUUUUCUAAUUCUUGUUACAUAAACUAUUGUUAUUUUCUUUCACCUUUCUCCAGUGAUCUUUAGAGCAUAUAUAUUAUUUUAGAUUCCACUACUGGUUAUCAUUUACUUUUAAAAAAAUUUUAUAUUUGAAUCUAUAUUUUUUAAAUUAGCUAAGACCCAAAUAAACAGUUUAUUUGGACUACCCUUACGUAUGAU